RNAcentral lists this ribosomal RNA (509 nucleotides) under uncultured bacterium. RNAcentral's name for it is "partial 16S ribosomal RNA". It matches the Rfam family "Bacterial small subunit ribosomal RNA", at positions 30 to 523 of the family's 1533-position model. The record is from RNAcentral.
AUUGAACGCUAACGGCGUGCUUAACACAUGCAAGUCGAGCGGCAGCAUGAUCUGUAGCAAUACAGAUUGAUGGCGAGCGGCGGACGGGUGAGUAAUGCAUAGGAAUCUGCCUUGUAGUGGGGGAUAACCCGGGGAAACUCGGGCUAAUACCGCAUAAUCUCUACGGAGCAAAGUGGGGGAUCGUAAGACCUCACGCUAAAAGAUGAGCCUAUGUUGGGUUAGACUAGUUGGUGAGGUAAUGGCUCACCAAGGCGACGAUCCAUAGCUGGUCUGAGAGGAUGAACAGCCACACUGGGACUGAGACACGGCCCAGACUCAUACGGAGGGCAGCAGUGGGGAAUAUGGGACAAUGGGCGAAAGCCUGAUCCAGCAACGCCGUGUGUGUGAAGAAGGCCUUCGGGUUGUAAAGCCCUUUUAGUUGGGAAGAAAAGCUCAUGGGUAAUAUCCAUGAGUGCUGACGUUACCAACAGAAAAAGCACUGGCUAACUCUGUGCCAGCAGCCGCCGUAA